Molecule: long non-coding RNA, 1249 nt
Organism: Oncorhynchus keta (chum salmon)
Lineage: Eukaryota; Metazoa; Chordata; Actinopteri; Salmoniformes; Salmonidae
Exons: 4
Source: RefSeq, a predicted model, not a curated record
CACACAGCUCCAUGUACAACACAGUGGGGUAUAGGUAAACACACAGCUCCAUGUACAAUAUAGUGGGGUAUAUGUAAACACACAGCUCCAUGUACAAUACAGUGGGGUAUAGGUAAACACACAGCUCCAUGUACAAUACAGUGGGGUAUAGGUAAACACACAGCUCCAUGUACAACACAGUAGGUAUAGGUAAACACACAGCUCCAUGUACAAUAGGGUGGGGUAUAGGUAAACACACAGCUCCAUGUACAAUACUGUGGGGUAUAUGUAAACACACAGCUCCAUGUGCAAUACAGUGGGGUAUAGGUAAACACACAGCUCCAUGUACAAUACAGUGGGGUAUAGGUAAACACACAGCUCCAUGUACAAUACAGUGGGGUAUAGGUAAACACACAGCUCCAUGUACAAUACAGUGGGGUAUAGGUAAACACACAGCUCCAUGUACAAUACAGUGGGGUAUAGGUAAACACACAGCUCCAUGUACAAUACAGUGGGGUAUAGGUAAACACACAGCUCCAUGUACAAUACAGUGGGGUAUAGGUAAACACACAGCUCCAUGUACAACACAGUUGGUAUAGGUAUAGACCCCAUAGGCCUAGAUAUAGCUCCAUGUACAACACAGUGUCUAUUGGUAUAGACCCCAUAGGACUAGAUAUAGCUCCAUGUACAACACAGUGUCUAUUGGUAUAGACCCCAUAGGCCUAGAUAUAUCUCCAUGUACAACACAGUGUCUAUUGGUAUAGACCCCAUAGGACUAGAUAUAGCUCCAUGUACAACACAGUGUCUAUUGGUAUAGACCCCAUAGGCCUAGAUAUAUCUCCAUGUACAACACAGUGUCUAUUGGUAUAGACCCCAUAGGCCUAGAUAUAUCUCCAUGUACAACACAGUGUCUAUUGGUAUAGACCCCAUAGGCCUAGAUAUAUCUCCAUGUACAACACAGUGUCUAUUGGUAUAGACCCCAUAGGCCUAGAUAUAUCUCCAUGUACAACACAGUGUCUAUUGGUAUAGACCCCAUAGGUCUAGAUAUAGCUCCAUGUACAACACAGUGUCUAUUGGUAUAGACCCCAUAGGUCUAGAUAUAUCUCCAUGUACAACACAGUGUCUAUUGGUAUAGACCCCAUAGGUCUAGAUAUAUCUCCAUGUACAACACAGUGUCUAUUGGUAUAGACCCCAUAGGUCUAGAUAUAGCUCCAUGUACAACACAGUGUCUAUUGGUAUAGACCCCAUAGGUCUAGAUAUAUCUCCAUGU